Molecule: long non-coding RNA, 4162 nt
Filed under: Sus scrofa (pig)
Lineage: Eukaryota; Metazoa; Chordata; Mammalia; Artiodactyla; Suidae
Description: lncRNA (ENSSSCG00000061208.1)
Source: RNAcentral
CACGCACGUGCAAAGAUGAAUAACACAGAAUCCCUCUCCUUAGACAGAAGGUGAACCGAGCUCACUGCACCCUACUUUGCACCAGGCCCACUUGGGCCUCCUCACAAGCUGGAAAUACUUGCCGCCACGCAGCUCCACUCCAGCCUCACGGUCUUCUCUGUGCGGGGCCAAGAAGGCUCCAAGCCAGUAUGGACACGGGCAGGCUCUCCCCGUGAUCUUCUCGACACCCUUGGUCAUAAAUAUCUUCCGUCCGUCCCUGGCCUGCGUGUCAGUCCGUCCCAGCUGCCAUACCCACACACCAGAACCUGGGCGCCGUGUUGGGCUUCUUGCCGUUCCUCAAAAACAGCGGGGAUCUGCAGUUUCAGGGCCUCCGCCCGAAUGUUCUCGGAUCUCUGAUAUCCACGUGGCCGCUUCUCACACCUCCAUCAAGCAUUGCCUCAGCUGCCCCCUCUCCACGAGGCCUUUCCUGACCAGCCUAUUUAAAUUUGUAAUUGCCCUUCUGAAAUACUCCCUUUCCUGCUCUGUCUUUCUCCAUAACCCAGAUCCCCAGCAAACAUGCUCUGCCUUCUACUCAUUUGAUUAUCUCCCCUGAGAGAAUCUGAACUCCACAAAGGUGGGGACCCUUCUUGUUUACUGCUACCUUCCUCGUUCUCAGAACCCUGUCUGCACCAAAUAGAUGUUCGAUCACUAUUAAAAUGGUUGAAUGAAACUCUCAGAGGAUGAUAAGGAGGCAGAGAGAAGCUCGGGCUUAGCCCAAGGGUCAGGAUUAGAACGCCACCGGCACUCAUUCACUCUCUCCAUUCUGGGAGCACCUGACAAGGUACGAGUGCAAAUCCUGCUGGAAGGACCAGCGGAAGCAGAACCAGGUCUUGUGGCAGCAGGGCUGAUGCCUCUGAGAUCAAGGGACAUAAUUUGAAGGCAUACGCCGAAGCUUUCCAGUUUUAAGACUGGCUUUAACUAUUUUUCUUUUGGCUGCCGCUUUCUGAGAUGAUGCAUAUGCACCAUAUGUCUGCAUCACCAGGUUCCCAUACAAAUUAGGAAACAAAAUUCCCGAUGAUUAAAACAGAUUUCUGCUGUUUCCAUGGGAAAUCGACGGCUGUGAAACCUUAGGAAACGAGAGGGAGACGGUUCAGCUCCAGGUGUGGUCAGGAGCAGUUGUGCUCAGUCUGCUCCCCAGGCGCCCAUCCAUGGGCUGUUCUCAGUUUGGGACAGGUGAGAUGUUGUCCUAGGUCACCAGCCCUGCUGGUGGCCAAGCAACACUUAUCAGCGUGUCUCAUCUACUCCUGUGAGCCUCCACCAUCAGGGAACUGGAGUUAGCCCCCUGGCCAACCAAACCAGGAAGGGCCUCUUCCUAACGACAAAGGGACACAUCACCGUGCCGAGCCCCUGCCUCACCCCGCAGUGUGGUUUCUGCGCCUGCUGAGCUGGCUCGCGGGGCUUCUGGUGGACAGAACGAUGUGCCCUCCGAGAGUCUCGCUUGCAGACUCACAGCUGGCUACUCACAAGUGGGCAGAGUUAAUCUGGGCGAGUGGGGGGGAUUCUUAACACAGCAAGGAUGCCCUGGGCAGUUGCGCCAAGGACGUCUCCAGGAGGCUGCGAUGACUGCUUGCUCCUGUCUGCCCCAGAGCUAGCACCCAUCUGCCUAAAGAAGAUCCAGCGCUGAGACAGAGGCUGCAAAGAGAUCAGUGCCCGCCAGCAGUGCCCUCUGUCAUGUCCGCGAGAGCUGGCUCGGGCGCCGACUCCAGCCCAAGUGCGGGGUCGAGGAAGCCGCCCCCACCUCUCUCCCUGGACCGCCAGGCAAGCGGACGGUGACAAGAUAUCUUUUCUCUGCUUUCCGAACUCAGACUGUAACUCAGGCAUCCCAGGGUGAGGCCCAGAACUGGGCACUUGGUGGCGGAGUUGAGCGUAGAGUUUCCAUCUGGACCCAGAUAGCCCUGCACGCGAAUGCUCAUCCUCCAGCUUACAGGCUGGGAGACCGCGGGGCGCUCACAGUUUGUCUGCAAAGUGGAGGCGACAAUACCUCCACUUCAGGAUGCAGUGCGCUGACUUCGGUAAAAAGCACUCAGACUGAGCCUGGCAGGCAGUGCCUGCGGCAUCUCUUUGCUUUGCCUCUGUGGCUGUUCCGCUCCCCAAACUGGAAACAGAUAGCUUGGUGGGCAAUACCCAGGCAAUGCCCGCCCACUCCUGUGACCCCCAUCACCAGCGCUGGAAGCUUGAAUCUUCUCAGAAUCACCAUGUACAGAGACCCCCCCAAAUCCGUGCCCGUAACUUACUCAUUGGCUGUAACGCAUCAGCCAGACUUGGCUAUCUUGCCGGGGUGGAAUGUUUCUCAGAGACACUACGUGGAAAAGGACACUUAUGCUGCCUUUUGGCCAAAAUAAACCGUUGGUAGGACCUCGUGGAAUUAAGACCAUAGAUCACAACGCAGGCCGAGUGCCUUGCCCUAAGCUAGUCAAAAUACUUUGACUCCUCUUGUCUUUAAACAACUCCUAGGCAGGAUUCCUCACCACGAGGCCAUCCUAGCAGGGUCCAUGGAAGCCGGAUUUGGGAAAGCAGUGCUAUGGUUUCGUGGUCCUGGGGAGGCUUUCAGUCAGUCGAUCUUUCCAUGACGGCUGUGAUAAAGUCCUGCACUGAUGACUUGAUCUAUUUCUAUAGAUUCCGGUUGCCGUCUCUUAAUACCGUCGGCUCUGUUUCUACCCCAACUCGCUGCUGACACUGGCUACCCAGGGGUGGCACAGGCUCACAGGUUAAGGGCAAAGUCCUCCACGGGGCUGCCCUUACCUCAGAUGCCGGCCACGAGUCUUGGGAAGCCCCCAGGCUACCCACCCUUCUGCCCAACCGGCCACAAACCUGAGCAUUCCAUGACUUCCUCAGGUUUGAAAAUCCACUAGAAUGACUCACAGAGCUCAAGAAAGUGCUAGACUUUCGACGGCAACUUCAACAAAAAGGAUGCAGGAGCAGCCAAGUGAGAGGCACAGGACGAGGUCCAGGAGGGAACACAGAGCUUCCGCGUCCCCUCCCACGAAGUCUGGGCAUGUCACCACCAGGUCCAUCUCUGCAACCAUGAACCAGGAAGCUCCUCUGAGCCCCAGCGUCCAAGGGUUUUAUUGGGGUUUCAUGACAUAGACACAGUUAAAUCAUUGGCCUCAUGACUAAACCCAAUCUCCAGACAUCCCCAAUCCCAGGGGUCAGGCUGCCUCCACGUCCCAAAAAUCGAAUCACAUGGCUGGUCUUUCUGAUGCCCAGCCUUCAUCCCGAAACUAUCUAGAAGCCUGGGCAAGUCGCCUCUUUAAUUUAACAGAGACAUCUCAUCACCCAAGCAAUUCCGAGGGGUUUAGGAUUUCUGUGCCUGCAAUGGGGACAAAUACCAAACACAGUCUUUUAUCUUCUACAAACCAUCAGGGCUUUAAGCUUUUUCCUGCGGGCAGCGGAGAGUGACUUGAGCAGGUUGAAACUGUCAUGUAUUGGGCAGCUGCUAUGGACCAGCCACACACAGUACGCGUACCUUUUGGACAGUACAUUGGGCCAGUGCACGGAGGGUCUGGCUGAAGCUGAGACCCUGUCUGGGUCUGGGAAAGGGCAGUCGCUGCUGUGUAGCCACAAAGUGGUGAGAGCUAAACUAGGGGGGCAGAAGGGGAAAUGGAAAGGGGGGAAGAGAGGAGUUGAGGGAGAUUUUGAAGGAAGGUUUCAACUUAUGGAACGUUUUGUCUCCCUUACAAGAUACUACACCCUAGACUAAGUUAGGACUUCUUGGAGAGUCCAACGGCUUUCUAAAGCUAUCCAAGGAAUAGAGAGAAAGCGGCUCCUCUGGGAUGAACAGAAGUGUAUAUUCUGCACAUGAAAACUGCAACGAACAUUCAAGAUCUUAAUGUUUUACCUCUUGAACCAACUUGAGGACCCUGUGCUGAUCUUUCCUGCCAUAUUCCCAUUUGUUCUUCUGAGCAAAAUAUGUUGACAGCCCACGUUUUCAAGUGGGAGACUUGUUUCUCUUUGGAAAUGAUUAUUAUCAGUUUUUACCUUUCACAGGGGUCUUUUGAAGUGUGUUGACUCUUGCAUUCAAGGUCCUGCCUCCCCUUGUCAAUCACAAAUUUAAGAGGGGAGGCGGGGGAUGUUGGGGUGUACUCCUGUGUAAACCAUGAAUAAAGGAGAACUUGUCAUUUUU